CCUACGGGUGGCAGCAGUGAGGAAUAUUGGUCAAUGGACGAGAGUCUGAACCAGCCAAGUAGCGUGAAGGAUGACUGCCCUAUGGGUUGUAAACUUCUUUUAUAUGGGAAUCAAACGUUCCACGAGUGGGAUUUUGUAUGUACCAUAUGAAUAAGGAUCGGCUAACUCCGUGCCAGCAGCCGCGGUAAUACGGAGGAUCCGAGCGUUAUCCGGAUUUAUUGGGUUUAAAGGGAGCGUAGGUGGAUUGUUAAGUCAGUUGUGAAAGUUUGCGGCUCAACCGUAAAAUUGCAGUUGAAACUGGCAGUCUUGAGUACAGUAGAGGUGGGCGGAAUUCGUGGUGUAGCGGUGAAAUGCUUAGAUAUCACGAAGAACUCCGAUUGCGAAGGCAGUUCACUGGACUGCAACUGACACUGAGGCUCGAAAGUGUGGGUAUCAAACAGGAUUAGAUACCCUGGUAGUC
Molecule: ribosomal RNA, 460 nt
Filed under: uncultured bacterium
Lineage: Bacteria
Description: partial 16S ribosomal RNA
Rfam family: Bacterial small subunit ribosomal RNA
Source: RNAcentral